This 213-nucleotide ribosomal RNA is filed under the name uncultured bacterium. RNAcentral's name for it is "partial 16S ribosomal RNA". It matches the Rfam family "Bacterial small subunit ribosomal RNA", at positions 524 to 734 of the family's 1533-position model. The record is from RNAcentral.
UACGAAGGGGGCUAGCGUUGUUCGGAUUUACUGGGCGUAAAGCGCACGUAGGCGGAUUGUUAAGUCAGGGGUGAAAUCCUGGAGCUCAACUCCAGAACUGCCUCUGAUACUGGCAAUCUUGAGUCCGGGAGAGGUGAGUGGAACUGCGAGUGUAGAGGUGAAAAUUCGUAGAUAUUCGCAAGAACACCAGUGGCGAAAGGCGGCUCACUGGCC